This 266-nucleotide small RNA is filed under the name Cercocebus atys (sooty mangabey). RNAcentral describes it as "Metazoan signal recognition particle RNA (ENSCATG00000021515.1)". Lineage: Eukaryota; Metazoa; Chordata; Mammalia; Primates; Cercopithecidae. The record is from RNAcentral.
GCCGGGUGCAGUGGCUCUUGCUUGUAAUCCUAGCCCUUUGGGAGGCUGAGAUGGGAGGAUCACUUGAGGCCAGGAGUUCAAGACCAGCCUGGUCAACAUAGUGAUACUCCAUCUCUCUAAAAAAAAUUUUUUUCUUUAAAGCAAGUUAUGGCCAGGCGUGGUGGCUCACGCCUGUAAUCUCAGCACUUUGGGAGGCCUAGGUGGGUAUAUCACCUGAGGUCAGGAGUUCAAGGCUAGCCUGGUCAACAUAGUGAUACCCCAUCUCU